This is a small nucleolar RNA of Balaenoptera musculus (blue whale), 70 nucleotides long. Ensembl annotates it as small nucleolar RNA, C/D box 113-1. Its record names the gene SNORD113-1. Lineage: Eukaryota; Metazoa; Chordata; Mammalia; Artiodactyla; Balaenopteridae. The record is from Ensembl.
UGGAUCAAUGAUGAGAGUUCUGGGGUAUAUGAAUCAAGAAUUUUGAUUAAACCCUAACUCUGAGGUCCAU